GGUCAAGCGAAUAAGCGCACACGGUGGAUGCCUAGGCGGUCAGAGGCGAUGAAGGACGUGGUAGCCUGCGAAAAGUGUCGGGGAGCUGGCAACAAGCUUUGAUCCGGCAAUAUCCGAAUGGGGAAACCCACUGCUUCGGCAGUAUCCUGCAGUGAAUUCAUAGCUGCUGGAAGCGAACCCGGUGAACUGAAAUAUCUAAGUAACCGGAGGAAAAGAAAUCAACCGAGAUUCCCUAAGUAGUGACGAGCGAACGGGGAACAGCCCUUAAGCUGGAAUGGCUUUAGAAAAACAAUCUGGAAAGAUUGGCCAUAGAAGGUGAUAGCCCUGUAUUUAAAAGGGCCACUCCAGUGAAGACGAGUAGGGCGGGGCACGUGAAACCCUGUCUGAAUAUGGGGGGACCAUCCUCCAAGGCUAAAUACUCCUGACCGACCGAUAGUGAACCAGUACCGUGAGGGAAAGGCGAAAAGAACCCCGGAGAGGGGAGUGAAAUAGAUCCUGAAACCGUGUGCGUACAAGCAGUAGGAGCUCGCAAGAGUGACUGCGUACCUUUUGUAUAAUGGGUCAGCGACUUACUGUUCGUGGCAAGCUUAACCGUAUAGGGGAGGCGAAGGGAAACCGAGUCUGAUAAGGGCGCAUAGUCGCGGGCAGUAGACCCGAAACCGGGUGAUCUAGUCAUGGCCAGGGUGAAGGUGCCGUAACAGGUACUGGAGGCCCGAACCCACGUCUGUUGCAAAAGACGGGGAUGAGCUGUGAUUAGGAGUGAAAAGCUAAUCGAACCCGGAGAUAGCUGGUUCUCCUCGAAAGCUAUUUAGGUAGCGCCUCGGACGAAUACUACUGGGGGUAGAGCACUGUUAUGGCUAGGGGGUCAUCGCGACUUACCAAACCAUUGCAAACUCCGAAUACCAGUACGUACUAUCCGGGAGACACACGGCGGGUGCUAACGUCCGUCGUGAAAAGGGAAACAACCCAGACCCACAGCUAAGGUCCCAAAUUCACUGCUAAGUGGAAAACGAUGUGGAAAGGCAUAGACAGCCAGGAGGUUGGCUUAGAAGCAGCCACCCUUUAAAGAAAGCGUAAUAGCUCACUGGUCGAGUCGGUCUGCGCGGAAGAUUUAACGGGGCUAAGCAGUGAACCGAAGCUUGGGGUGCAUAAAACUUGUUUUAUGCGCGGUAGAGGAGCGUUCCGUAAGCCUGCGAAGGUGGAUUGAGAAGUCUGCUGGAGGUAUCGGAAGUGCGAAUGCUGACAUGAGUAACGAUAAUGCGGGUGAAAAGCCCGCACGCCGAAAGCCCAAGGUUUCCUUGCGCAACGUUAAUCGACGCAGGGUUAGUCGGUCCCUAAGGCGAGGGCGAAAGCCGUAGUCGAUGGGAAGCAGGUUAAUAUUCCUGCACCUCGCGUGAGUGCGAUGGAGGGACGGAGAAGGUUAGGUGUACCGGGCGUUGGUUGUCCCGGGGAAAGGCGGUAGGUUUGGAUCUUUGGCAAAUCCGGGAUCCUUUAAGACCGAGCACCGAGACGAGCCUUUAUGGCGAAGUCACUGAUACCACGCUUCCAGGAAAAGCUCCUAAGCUUCAGCUCACGAAGACCGUACCGUAAACCGACACAGGUGGGUAGGAUGAGAAUUCUCAGGCGCUUGAGAGAACUCGGGUGAAGGAACUAGGCAACAUGGCACCGUAACUUCGGGAGAAGGUGCACCCUUUUUGGUGGCUCGUGCGAGCUAUAGCUGAAGAGGGUCGCAGAAACCAGGCCGCUGCGACUGUUUAUCAAAAACACAGCACUCUGCAAACACGAAAGUGGACGUAUAGGGUGUGACGCCUGCCCGGUGCUGGAAGGUUAAUUGAUGGGGUCAGCCGCAAGGCGAAGCUCUUGAUCGAAGCCCCAGUAAACGGCGGCCGUAACUAUAACGGUCCUAAGGUAGCGAAAUUCCUUGUCGGGUAAGUUCCGACCUGCACGAAUGGCGUAACGACAGCGGCGCUGUCUCCACCCGAGACUCAGUGAAAUUGAAAUCGCUGUGAAGAUGCAGCGUUCCCGUGGCAAGACGGAAAGACCCCGUGAACCUUUACUAUAGCUUUACACUGAACGUUGAGUUCGUCUGUGUAGGAUAGGUGGGAGGCUAUGAAACUGUGGCGCUAGCUGCAGUGGAGCCAUCCUUGAAAUACCACCCUGUCGUGCUUGACGUUCUAACCUAGAUCCGUUAUCCGGAUCAGGGACCGUGUAUGGUGGGUAGUUUGACUGGGGCGGUCUCCUCCUAAAGAGUAACGGAGGAGCACGAAGGUACGCUCAGCGCGGUCGGACAUCGCGCACUGUGUGCAAAGGCAUAAGCGUGCUUGACUGCAAGAUCGACGGAUCAAGCAGGUACGAAAGUAGGUCUUAGUGAUCCGGUGGUUCUGUAUGGAAGGGCCAUCGCUCAACGGAUAAAAGGUACUCCGGGGAUAACAGGCUGAUACCGCCCAAGAGUUCAUAUCGACGGCGGUGUUUGGCACCUCGAUGUCGGCUCAUCACAUCCUGGGGCUGUAGUCGGUCCCAAGGGUAUGGCUGUUCGCCAUUUAAAGUGGUACGCGAGCUGGGUUCAGAACGUCGUGAGACAGUUCGGUCCCUAUCUGCCAUGGGCGUUGGAAGUUUGAGAGGGGCUGCUCCUAGUACGAGAGGACCGGAGUGGACGAACCUCUGGUGUUCCGGUUGUCACGCCAGUGGCAUUGCCGGGUAGCUAUGUUCGGAAGCGAUAACCGCUGAAAGCAUCUAAGCGGGAAGCGCGCCUCAAGAUGAGACUUCCCGGGGCACAAGCCCCCUAAAGGAACCAUAUAGACUAUGUGGUUGAUAGGUCAGGUGUGUAAGUACAGCAAUGUAUUGAGCUAACUGAUACUAAUGAUCCGUGCGGCUUGACCAU
This 2881-nucleotide ribosomal RNA is filed under the name Xanthomonas sp. 3058. RNAcentral describes it as "23S ribosomal RNA". It matches the Rfam family "Bacterial large subunit ribosomal RNA". RNAcentral also lists the same sequence under 1 other name. The record is from RNAcentral. Lineage: Bacteria; Pseudomonadati; Pseudomonadota; Gammaproteobacteria; Lysobacterales; Lysobacteraceae.